GGAAGGAUCAUUACUGAAUUGUCAACACGAGUUGUUGCUGGUCCCUCAAACGGGGGCAUGUGCACACUCUGUUCACACAUCCACUCACACCUGUGCACCCUCUGUAGUUCUAUGGCUCUCGGGGGACUCUGUCCUCCUGUCAUGGUUCUACAUCUUUACACACACACUGUAAUAAGGUCUCAUGGAAUGUAUGCCGCGUUUAACGCAAUACAAUACAACUUUCAGCAACGGAUCUCUUGGCUCUCGCAUCGAUGAAGAACGCAGCGAAAUGCGAUAAGUAAUGUGAAUUGCAGAAUUCAGUGAAUCAUCGAAUCUUUGAACGCACCUUGCGCCCUUUGGCUAUUCCGAAGGGCAUGCCUGUUUGAGUAUCAUGAACACCUCAACUCUCAUGGUUUGCCAUGAUGAGCUUGGACUUUGGGGGUCUUGCUGGCCUGUGGUCAGCUCCUCUCAAAUGAAUCAGCUUGCCAGUGUUUGGUGGCAUCACGGGUGUGAUAACUAUCUACGCUUGUGGUUUUCCGCCAGAUAACCUUCAGUGACAUGGAGGUUUGCUGGAGCUCAUAAACGUCUCUCCCCCAGCGAAGACAGCUUUGUGAAUGUUUGAUCUCAAAUCAGGUAGGACUACCCGCUGAACUUAAGCAUAUCAAUAAGCGGAGGAAAAGAAACUAACAAGGAUUCCCCUAGUAACUGCGAGUGAAGCGGGAAGAGCUCAAAUUUAAAAUCUGGCGUGCCUCCGGUCGUCCGAGUUGUAGUCUGGAGAAGCGUUUUCCGUGUUGGACCGUGUAUAAGUCCCUUGGAACAGGGCGUCAUAGAGGGUGAGAAUCCCGUCUUUGACACGGACCGCCAAUGCUUUGUGAUGCGCUCUCAAAGAGUCGAGUUGUUUGGGAAUGCAGCUCAAAAUGGGUGGUAAAUUCCAUCUAAAGCUAAAU
This 926-nucleotide ribosomal RNA is filed under the name uncultured fungus. RNAcentral's name for it is "eukaryotic LSU rRNA". The stretch from base 599 to 926 matches the Rfam family "Eukaryotic large subunit ribosomal RNA", at positions 1 to 321 of the family's 3401-position model. The record is from RNAcentral. Lineage: Eukaryota; Fungi.